Molecule: ribosomal RNA, 251 nt
Filed under: uncultured bacterium
Lineage: Bacteria
Description: partial 16S ribosomal RNA
Rfam family: Bacterial small subunit ribosomal RNA
Source: RNAcentral
UACGGAGGGUGCGAGCGUUAUCCGGAUUUACUGGGUUUAAAGGGUGUGUAGGCGGACUGUUAAGUCAGUGGUGAAAUCCCGGGGCUCAACCCCGGAACUGCCAUUGAUACUAUCAGUCUUGAAUACUGUGGAGGUGAGCGGAAUGUGUCAUGUAGCGGUGAAAUGCUUAGAGAAUGACACAGAACACCGAUUGCGAAGGCAGCUCACUACGCAGUUAUUGACGCUGAGGCACGAAAGCGUGGGGAUCAAAC